RNAcentral lists this ribosomal RNA (489 nucleotides) under Salmonella enterica subsp. enterica serovar Typhimurium. Its description in RNAcentral is "bacterial SSU rRNA". It matches the Rfam family "Bacterial small subunit ribosomal RNA", at positions 1054 to 1533 of the family's 1533-position model. Lineage: Bacteria; Pseudomonadati; Pseudomonadota; Gammaproteobacteria; Enterobacterales; Enterobacteriaceae. The record is from RNAcentral.
GUCAGCUCGUGUUGUGAAAUGUUGGGUUAAGUCCCGCAACGAGCGCAACCCUUAUCCUUUGUUGCCAGCGAUUAGGUCGGGAACUCAAAGGAGACUGCCAGUGAUAAACUGGAGGAAGGUGGGGAUGACGUCAAGUCAUCAUGGCCCUUACGACCAGGGCUACACACGUGCUACAAUGGCGCAUACAAAGAGAAGCGACCUCGCGAGAGCAAGCGGACCUCAUAAAGUGCGUCGUAGUCCGGAUUGGAGUCUGCAACUCGACUCCAUGAAGUCGGAAUCGCUAGUAAUCGUGGAUCAGAAUGCCACGGUGAAUACGUUCCCGGGCCUUGUACACACCGCCCGUCACACCAUGGGAGUGGGUUGCAAAAGAAGUAGGUAGCUUAACCUUCGGGAGGGCGCUUACCACUUUGUGAUUCAUGACUGGGGUGAAGUCGUAACAAGGUAACCGUAGGGGAACCUGCGGUUGGAUCACCUCCUUACCUUAAAGAA